RNAcentral lists this ribosomal RNA (589 nucleotides) under uncultured bacterium. RNAcentral's name for it is "bacterial SSU rRNA". It matches the Rfam family "Bacterial small subunit ribosomal RNA", at positions 338 to 916 of the family's 1533-position model. The record is from RNAcentral.
CCUACGGGAGGCAGCAGUAGGGAAUCUUCCGCAAUGGACGAAAGUCUGACGGAGCAACGCCGCGUGAACGAUGAAGGCCUUCGGGUCGUAAAGUUCUGUUGUUAGGGAAGAACAAGUGCUAGUUAAAUAAGCCGGCACCUUGACGGUACCUAACCAGAAAGCCACGGCUGACUACGUGCCAGCAGCCGCGGUAAUACGUAGGUGGCAAGCGUUGUCCGGAAUUAUUGGGCGUAAAGCGCGCGCAGGCGGUUUCUUAAGUCUGAUGUGAAAGCCCCCCGGCUCAACCGGGGAGGGUCAUUGGAAACUGGGAAACUUGAGUGCAGAAGAGGAAAGUGGAAUUCCAAGUGUAGCGGUGAAAUGCGUAGAGAUUUGGAAGAACACCAGUGGCGAAGGCGACUUUCUGGUCUGUAACUGACGCUGAGGCGCGAAAGCGUGGGGAGCAAACAGGAUUAGAUACCCUGGUAGUCCACGCUGUAAACGAUGAGUGCUAAGUGUUAGAGGGUUUCCGCCCUUUAGUGCUGAAGUUAACGCAUUAAGCACUCCGCCUGGGGGAGUACGGUCGCAAGACUGAAACUUAAGGAAUUGACGG